GACGAACGCUGGCGGCGUGCUUAACACAUGCAAGUCGAGCGGUAAGGCCUUUCGGGGUACACGAGCGGCGAACGGGUGAGUAACACGUGGGUGAUCUGCCCUGCACUUCGGGAUAAGCCUGGGAAACUGGGUCUAAUACCGGAUAUGACCUCCUAUCGCAUGGUGGGUGGUGGAAAGAUUUAUCGGUGCAGGAUGGGCCCGCGGCCUAUCAGCUUGUUGGUGGGGUAAUGGCCUACCAAGGCGACGACGGGUAGCCGACCUGAGAGGGUGACCGGCCACACUGGGACUGAGACACGGCCCAGACUCCUACGGGAGGCAGCAGUGGGGAAUAUUGCACAAUGGGCGAAAGCCUGAUGCAGCGACGCCGCGUGGGGGAUGACGGCCUUCGGGUUGUAAACCUCUUUCAGCAGGGACGAAGCGCAAGUGACGGUACCUGCAGAAGAAGCACCGGCUAACUACGUG
This 462-nucleotide ribosomal RNA is filed under the name uncultured bacterium. RNAcentral's name for it is "partial 16S ribosomal RNA". It matches the Rfam family "Bacterial small subunit ribosomal RNA", at positions 28 to 507 of the family's 1533-position model. The record is from RNAcentral.